UGAGGCAAGAGAAUUGCUUGAAUCCAGGAGGCAGAGGUUGCAGUGAGCCAAGAUCACGCCACUGCACUCCAGCCUGGGUGACAGAGCAAGACUCUUUUUUU
Molecule: microRNA precursor, 101 nt
Filed under: Chlorocebus sabaeus (green monkey)
Lineage: Eukaryota; Metazoa; Chordata; Mammalia; Primates; Cercopithecidae
Description: miRNA (ENSCSAG00000022736.1)
Source: RNAcentral